Arabidopsis thaliana (thale cress) is the source of this 389-nucleotide long non-coding RNA. RefSeq annotates it as other RNA. Lineage: Eukaryota; Viridiplantae; Streptophyta; Magnoliopsida; Brassicales; Brassicaceae. The record is from RefSeq. The transcript has a single exon.
GACCACCACUGCAUUUUAAAACUGAAGAAUGGAUAUUGGAUGUAUGAUUAUGAUUAAAUCUCAAAUGAGACAUAUUUAUUUGGUCAUAUUCACAUAAUGAGUACAUGAAAUGAUGUUAUUGUGUGGUGUUGGUUGGUCGUAAUGUAUGAGUUAGUGGUUAAAAUGAACUUGUUUCAAAGAAGUGAAUGACCACUCCACGAUUUCCUCAAGAACCUUGCGAUGGUAACAAACUGUAACAUUCACCUCUUCUAAGAUAGUUUUGGAGACUGGAUUUGAAGUCAAAUGAGAGUAACAGACACAAACACACAAAAGAAAUAUUGAAUUUAUUACUAACUUGCAAGUUGCAAUAACAAUUGUUUCGUUCAUCCUCCAAGUGUUCGCUUCAACUU